AGCUCCAAUAGCGUAUAUUAAAGUUGUUGCAGUUAAAAAGCUCGUAGUUGGACUUCUGGUGGGAGCGACCGGUCCCGCGCUCUGCGUGGGUACUUGAGUCGUCUCCGGCCAUCCUUGGGGAGAGCCAGUCUGGCAUUAAGUUGUCGGGCUGGGGAUGCCCAUCGUUUACUGUGAAAAAAUUAGAGUGUUCAAAGCAGGCUUAUGCCGCUGAAUAUAUUAGCAUGGAAUAAUAAGAUAGGACCUUGGUACUAUUUUGUUGGUUUGUGCACCGAGGUAAUGAUUAAUAGGGACAGUUGGGGGUAUUCGUAUUCCAUUGUCAGAGGUGAAAUUCUUGGAUUUCUGGAAGACGAACUACUGCGAAAGCAUUUACCAAGGAUGUUUUCA
Molecule: ribosomal RNA, 384 nt
Filed under: uncultured eukaryote
Lineage: Eukaryota
Description: SSU rRNA
Rfam family: Eukaryotic small subunit ribosomal RNA
Source: RNAcentral